Molecule: long non-coding RNA, 3407 nt
Organism: Coffea arabica (coffee)
Lineage: Eukaryota; Viridiplantae; Streptophyta; Magnoliopsida; Gentianales; Rubiaceae
Source: RefSeq, a predicted model, not a curated record
CGUGGGAGGGUACUAUGAUACCACUACACCAGAUGCGCGACGUUGGUAACUUGAACCUCCAAAUCUUGCUUGAACAAGUAAAUGAAAUAAUCAGUAAAGCAACCUAUUAUUGGCGAGUACGAGGCCGGUGGGCAGUUCAUAGUAAAGCGAUGGGCGGUGGCGGUGCGAGAGUUUAUGCUUUAUUGUAGAAGAGACUGGAGCUGACCUGAUGUGUAUCUGAAAGUUGGUUAUUAAUUUCUCAUGGUAGAUGCUAUGUGAUGAAGUUUAUCAAUGAUUUUUUCUUUUGGCAGAUGAUAUGAUAUUUUAUGAAGCUUAUCAAUGAUUUUAGUAGUAUUACUUCUUUUGGGUUUUUAGUCUUCUCUUUAAGUUGCAUCUGAUGUUUGGAAUCGCAAAUUUUAUAUACCCUCACAAAUCCAGCACGCUUAGUGCUUGUGGUCACAUAGAUAAUUGUUGAUUAACUUGAAGAAGUUUCUGCAAUCCGUUUCCCGUUUCUGCUUAUUAGAUUGGUCUGUUUCUCUUACAAGCAUCCGCUUGUGGGUUUUUUUGAUGCCCUGCUAUCUGUAACAUUUGUACCUUUUUGUUCUUGUGGGUUUUCACAUAUGAGAAUUAACCACCCCUGUCUCAUAUAUUGCUUUGACUCAUUUGUUACUCCAUGUGUUUUUGAUGAACUUUGGAUAGCAGUUUGAAAUGAUUGGUUAUCAGCUAUAUUAUCAGCCUUUUUUUUUUUUAAAAAAAAGGAAAAAGAAAUGCAAGCUUUACUGCAUACCCUUUCAUCUUGAAAGGUAAAUGUUAUUUAAUCAAUGUAAUUGCAAUUGCAGGAGGAAAAAUUCUGACCUUUAACUUGAGCUAAGAGGACUUGAUGCUGUUUGUGUUGUUGUCCUGUAUUGCAUCAUAGCCCAUUUUGAAAUGGGAAUCCUUUGCUAAGCCACAUUGAAUUUUUGGUGCAAUGGAGAUGUGUUUUCUUGUAUUGAUGCAUCCUGCAAAUGUUUUCAUUUAAAUCACCUGCAGAAUUUACUUGAGCACCAUUUGCAUUCAUAUUACAAUUUAUGCUACAAUUCGGUUUCAUAUAUUUCCAUCCUUAUAGUGAUAACUCAUACGGAAAUACAUUACAAUUAAAAUUAAAAGUAAUUUGUUGACACAAUGAAUUGCUUCUUCUGCACAUUUUCUCUGUCCUGAACUGUUCUCUGGAAAAAAUUGUGGUGAGUGCAUAAGAACUCCUCUCCUGUUGAGCUUUGGACAGCAUACUCCUAUGUUUUUCAAUAGCAAUAGUUUCUGGUGAUCUAAGAGGAGCACUAGGGGCAUGGUUGCGUAUUAGAAAAUAGUAUCAAAUUUCCUUACCUAUGCGUUACAUCCAGCAAAGUAGAAGGGUAGGCACAUCAGUGGACUAUGUACAGCCUUGCUCUAUGCUCUUUUAAACUCUUGCAUCUUCUAUGCCAGUUUCCAGCCUGCCUAUUCCUAGAAGCACCAUAGCCUUCAAUGGAUAUGAAUUCCAGCUUUCUUUCUUCCUUCACAGUGAUGUCCAGUGCAUUGUUCUUGAGGAAAUUAAAGUUCUCUGCUGUUAUAAUUUAUAAACUUCUCUAGCAGUAACUGAAAACUGUUUCAGUUUCUUUGACUUCUUUCCUCACAUUAUGGGAAUCUUGAAGAUUACUUCCCGCUGGACUUUUGGCUGUGAACCAGGGGUCUUGUUUCUUGCUUAUUGCUGAUUUUAUAUUGGGAUUUCCUGAUAUCCUGGUUCACUCCUCCUGAUUCCACGUGUUGACCAGUUUGGUUACCAAUGUUCUAGGUUAAGGUAUACCAUGCAGCUCUUGCCUUUUAAAUCACAAAACUUUUUAUUCAAGAGUUCAAACCUGACUUCAGGAGGAUUAGUCCUAUUCUACAUCAAUCAAGAUAUUGUCAACCAAGCUGUGUGUCUAUAGAAUUAGGUUGCUUUUCUUGCUAUCAAGGUACAGAUUUCUAUUUAAAGACUUUCUUCCCAUGUUACUCUUACUUUGCCCGUGGUCUCACUCUUCCCUGAUGUAGCUAUUAACAACCUUCGCAAUAUUUCGUAAUACCAGUAACAUGCUAGCAAUAUAUUUCCCUUAUAUAUUUGUGUAUUCAUUCAACAUAGCUCAAUUCAAGUUUCAGUCAGAUGGGGAAUCCAGGAAGGAGAGAUAGCCAUGGAAUGAAGUAUCUUUGUUGUCUCUUUGCCUUCCAACUUUUAUUAAUUUACUUGUACUUUUUUUUUUUUUGCAAGUUCUAUUUCAACUUUUAUUUGUCUGUCUUUUGCUUUUCCCCAUUUAUCUUUUUGCUUUUCCAGGGUGCUCACUGUUUUUGAGUCGGUGUGUGGAGCAUAUAGAGUUGUUGGCUACAUUUAACUUUUUUUGGCUUGAAGCUCCAGUGAUGAAGUUAGUCAGCUAUAGUUGUCGUUCCAAUUGCUGAAGCUCUGUCAUAUUUCUAGAGCUACAUGUAGAACAGAAGGGACAGCUGAGGAGCUGGCUUAACAUUUUUCCUUUGGUCGCUACUUGCAUUGCUUUGAGUAUUGGAGUCAGUCGAAAGUUGUGAAUUUUACUAUUUCUGAUAGCAUGCUGCAAAAAUCUCUCUCUCUCUAGUUUCUUUUAGUUUUCUGUCCGCCAUCGUUUUGCUGUUUGUUUUUUUUUUCCUCGUGUUGUUUACUUUGGCUAAUGGAGGAUCAUAGGUGGGGCAAAUUAUGGAAAGGAUGGAGGGCAUCUAAUAUGGCCUUAUGCUCCUCAUGUCCUUGCUUAAUCGAAAACUGUAAUGUGAAUAGCAAGCACUAAUCGCAGUAUAAUCAAGACUUUCUUCUGCUACGAUGGACUACUGAACUUGUGGAACGAGGGAGAUCUGCUGGGCUGUAACUUCUCAAUAAGACGGAGGAACGCAUUUAUGAAUUGUCUUGAACGCCAGCACAUGUUUUAGCAGAGAGCCAAUGAGUAGAAAAGCAAUUGAGUGCAUGCGCUGCAAAGAGCCAAGCUGGAUUUGCACUUUCUAAGUUGAAACUACUACUCAAGUCAAGCAAACAAGAAUUUGUCAGUGAACGUGGAUGAAAAUCAGUGAAUCAGGGCCAUCAUGCUAUGCAACCAAAAUGUGGAUUUGACAGUGCGUGGUCUUUUAUGAUGAUUGGCGUUCAAUGAAAUCAUAUCACGUGCAACGUUGGUGUCCACAGCCAAUCUUGACAAAGAACCAAUCAUAGCUUAAGAUGGUUGAGAGCCUUAACCAAAAAGAGGGAUACCAAAGUUUCUUGUUGCCCUUAUGUUUUCAGCUUUGGCAAAAAUUCUUUUAUUGCUGCCCUUGUUAUUUCCUCAGACAUGAUUAUAAGGACUGCCAACAAGUUGAAAAAAAUGGCAAAAACGGCCCCUCAGUUGAGAUUAAAAGUUUGGCUCUGAUCGUUUUUCAUCCAGCUCGGAUGUUAA